ACUCAAAGGAAUAGACGGGGGCCCGCACAAGCGGUGGAACAUGUGGUUUAAUUCGAUGCAACGCGAAGAACCUUACCUGGGCUUGACAUCUACGGAAUCUCCUGGAAACAGGGGAGUGCCGCAAGGAGCCGUAAGACAGGUGGUGCACGGUUGUCGUCAGCUCGUGUCGUGAGAUGUUGGGUUAAGUCCCGCAACGAGCGCAACCCUCGUUGUCUGUUGCUACAGAUCGAAAGAUGCUGAGCACUCAGGCGAGACUGCCGGUGAUAAACCGGAGGAAGGUGGGGACGACGUCAAAUCAGCACGCCCCUUAUGUCCAGGGCUACACACGUGUUACAAUGGGAAGCGGACAAUGGGUCGCUUGGCAGCGAUGCCCGGCAAAUCCCCGAAACCGCCCCUCAGUUCGGAUCGCAGUCUGCAACUCGACUGUGUGAAGUCGGAAUCGCUAGUAAACGCAGAUCAGCAACGCUGCGUUGAAUACGUUCCCGGGCCUUGCACACACCGCCCGU
Molecule: ribosomal RNA, 506 nt
Filed under: uncultured bacterium
Lineage: Bacteria
Description: partial 16S ribosomal RNA
Rfam family: Bacterial small subunit ribosomal RNA
Source: RNAcentral